Molecule: ribosomal RNA, 301 nt
Filed under: uncultured bacterium
Lineage: Bacteria
Description: partial 16S ribosomal RNA
Rfam family: Bacterial small subunit ribosomal RNA
Source: RNAcentral
CAGCCGCCACGGGAACACGUAGGGUGCAAGCGUUAAUCGGAAUUACUGGGCGUAAAGCGUGCGUAGGCGGUUUGUUAAGUCUGUUGUGAAAUCCCCGGGCUCAACCUGGGAAUGGCAAUGGAUACUGGCAAGCUAGAGUGUGUCAGAGGAUGGUGGAAUUCCCGGUGUAGCGGUGAAAUGCGUAGAGAUCGGGAGGAACAUCAGUGGCGAAGGCGGCCAUCUGGGACAACACUGACGCUGAGGCACGAAAGCGUGGGGAGCAAACAGGAUUAGAUACCCCCGUAGUCCCUGUCUCUUAUAC